Talpa occidentalis (Iberian mole) is the source of this 424-nucleotide long non-coding RNA. RefSeq lists it as uncharacterized. Lineage: Eukaryota; Metazoa; Chordata; Mammalia; Eulipotyphla; Talpidae. The record is from RefSeq and is a predicted model, not a curated record. The transcript is spliced from 3 exons.
UCGAAAUACAUCAAUGGGUAGAUAAUACAGAUAAGAGAUCGUCAACAUUCUAGAAAAAAGGAUUAUCUCAAGGAUGAAGGGUAAACCGAACUUCUACUGCUUAUAAAAUUUAAGGAAAACAGUGAAAUUAAAGGUACUUUUUGGUUUUAAACUAACUUUGCUGUCUUUUCCAUGUCAAGUUUGGCCACACCUAUCAUUUAGCAAGUAACAAUCUAUCAUAACUGCAACAACCUUCACUGCGAUUUCAGAGCAAAGAAUCUCAAAGGAAUCUACCUGACCUGUCUGACAGGAUCUUAACAGGAUUAAUCUUGUAUCUUUCUAACUAGAACUUACAACCAUUGCUGGCAUUCCCAUCUAGACCUACCUAAACUGUGGAAUUGCUACCAUUUGAUGUCAUCAAUCUGCUCAUGUAGUCGGACAAAGG